Molecule: long non-coding RNA, 214 nt
Organism: Sinocyclocheilus anshuiensis
Lineage: Eukaryota; Metazoa; Chordata; Actinopteri; Cypriniformes; Cyprinidae
Exons: 3
Source: RefSeq, a predicted model, not a curated record
GGAAAAGUCUAUUCUCGCCUGGCCUUUAGUAAAGGAAACCGUCGUUACCAUGACAUAGGCAUUUCUUCCAUAAGUGCUCUGAGCAUCUCUCCUGGAUGCGGAUGCUGAGUAAACUGUUUCACGUGUGGGCUGGUAGUAACUGCAAGAGAAGAUGCAGAAUGAGAACAUGAGACAAGCUCCACCACAGAUGGCAAGAACACCAGAGGCCCAGCCG